This 406-nucleotide ribosomal RNA is filed under the name uncultured bacterium. RNAcentral's name for it is "partial 16S ribosomal RNA". It matches the Rfam family "Bacterial small subunit ribosomal RNA", at positions 30 to 526 of the family's 1533-position model. The record is from RNAcentral.
AUUGAACGCUGGCGGCAGGCCUAACACAUGCAAGUCGAACGAGUGGCGGACGGGUGAGUAAUGUCUGGGAAACUGCCUGAUGGAGGGGGAUAACUACUGGAAACGGUAGCUAAUACCGCAUAAAAUCAGAUGUGCCCAGAGGGGAUUAGCUAGUUGGUGGGGUAACGGCUCACCAAGGCGACGAUCCUUAGCUGGUCUGAGAGGAUGACCGGCCACACUGUAACUGAGACACUGUCCAGACUCCUACGGGAGGCAGCAGUGGGGAAUAUUGCACAAUGGGCGCAAGCCUGAUGCAGCCAUGCCGCUUGUAUGAAGAAGGCCUUCGGGUUGUAAAGUACUUUCAGCGGGGAGGCGUUACCCGCAGAAGAAGCACCGGCUAACUCCGUGCCAGCCGCCGCGGUAAUUC